RNAcentral lists this ribosomal RNA (492 nucleotides) under uncultured bacterium. RNAcentral's name for it is "partial 16S ribosomal RNA". It matches the Rfam family "Bacterial small subunit ribosomal RNA", at positions 29 to 507 of the family's 1533-position model. The record is from RNAcentral.
AGUGAACGCUGGCGGCAGGCCUAACACAUGCAAGUCGAACGGCAGCGCAGUAAGUGCUUUCUCUUACGGGUUGCGAGUCGCGUACGGAUCAGGUAUACAUCCUACUCUACUUUUUCGUGUGGCUUUUCGUAGCGAUACCUACUCUCAUACCGCAUACGACCUACGGUUGAAUUCACGUGAUCUUCGCAACUUCCUCGCUACAAUGUGCCGAUGUCGUAUUUGCUAGUUGGCGGGGUAAAGGCCCACCAAGGCGACGAGCCGUAGCUGGUCUGUGAGGAUGAUCGGCCACACUGGAACGGAGACACGGUCAAGACUCCUACGGGAGGCAGCAGUGGGGAAUAUUGGAAAAUGGGCGAAAGCCUGAUCCAGCCAUACCGCGUGGGUGAAGAAGGCCUUCGGGUUGUAAAGCCCUUUUGUUGGGAAAGAAAAGCAGCAGGUUAAAACCUCGAUGUUGUGACGGUACCCAAAGAAUAAGCAACGGCUAACUUCGUG